AUCGGAUUUGAUUACUUUAUUAGUAAAUUUACUAAAACGGCCCCUAAAGUUAUAACUAUUUUCAGGCGGGUCCCUGUUCUUCUCCUUGAAUCUGCUUUAAGGUUUUUUUUUUGUGUAGAAUCAAUCAAUGGACUUGUUGUUUGCGGGAAUCGUAGCAAUGGAGGAGGAUUGGGGAGAGAGGGUAUCAGAGAAGGUUGUUUCGGCUUACAUGUCUCUCCCGAAAAAGGGAAAACCUCAGGGACGUGAAGUCACCGUCCUCUCCGCUUUCCUUGUCUCUUCUCCUUCCCAAGACUUGAAAGUGAUAGCGUUAGGGACGGGGACCAAGUGCGUUAGUCGGUCGCUGCUGAGUCCCCGCGGGGACAUUGUUAACGAUUCUCAUGCCGAAGUUGUCGCCAGAAGAGCUCUCAUCAGGUUCUUCUAUUCCGAGAUUCAGGGGAUGCAAUUGACUUCAGAUAAGAGUAGUGAAGCCAAGCGUCAGAGACUUGAUUGCGAAACAAGCUCAGUACUAGAGUCAGCAGAUUCAAGCUGUCCUGGAGAAGUGAAAUAUAAGCUCAAAUCUGGCUGCCACUUGCAUAUGUACAUUUCUCAAUUGCCAUGUGGUUAUGCUUCUACUAGUUCACCCUUCUAUGCCCUGAAAAAGAUUCCAUCAACACAAGUAGACGACUCAUUUUUAGUUCAAGCUUCUGACAUUGGCUCGUCUCGGCAUUCUGAUGUUCCACAGAUAGGUAGUAAUAGCCACACAGGUAAUGGCUCACAAGUAGCAGAUAUGGUGCAAAGAAAGCCUGGUCGUGGUGAAACGACACUCUCUGUUAGCUGUUCAGAUAAGAUAGCUCGAUGGAAUGUUCUUGGAGUUCAAGGGGCAUUGCUUUGCCAAGUCCUCCAGCCUGUUUAUAUCUCUACCAUCACCGUUGGACAAUCUCUGCACAUUCCUGGCAAUUUUUCUUUAGCUGAUCACUUGCGAAGAUCUUUGUAUGAGAGGAUCCUCCCACUAUCGGAUGACCUUCUGACUUCCUUCCGGUUGAACAAGCCACUGUUUUUUGUAGCUCCAGUAAUACCAUCAGAAUUUCAGCAUUCAGAAACUGCUCAAGCUACCUUAACAUGCGGGUAUUCCUUGUGUUGGAACUAUUCUGGCUUACACGAAGUUAUUCUUGGAACAACAGGUAGAAAGCAAGGCACAUCAGCUAAAGGAGCUCUGUAUCCGUCUACUCAAUCAUCUAUAUGCAAACAGCGGUUACUGGAGCUAUUCUUGAAAGAAACUCAUGGACACGAAAGGGAAUCUUCCAAGUCAAAAAAAUCGUACCGAGAACUGAAGAACAAAGCUACGGAAUAUUCUUUGAUGUCAAGGAUUUUUAAAGGAAAGUAUCCAUUCAACAAUUGGCUAAGAAAACCCUUGAAUUACGAGGAUUUUCUGAUAAAUUAGACGUGGGAAAAUACAAAUAGCAAAGAAGUGAAACGAAAAAUACCCAAGAAAACGAAAGCAGAAAAUAUGAAUUUUGACUGAAACGAAUUAAGAUGCGGUGACCUGAAGCAAGUCGAUGUCUCAAUUAUAACAUCUACUUUUUCAAAUCAUUAAAAAUACAAGGGAAAGGAGUUGUACCAUGCGAUGAAAAAGAUUUUGCUCUUCUGGCAGUUCUCAGGAGUGGUGAAAUCAAAGUCAUAGACAGCAUAUCGGCACUCAUCCUCGGGAAUAGAUCUGGUGAAAUCGUCGUAAGUUUCUUCUGGAUUCCCAAGCUUGUCAAUCAUAACUUGCUGAGCCUUCUCAUCAAUUUUGAACACAAUGAACCUAUAGUUCCUCUUUGCUUUCAACUCCAAGAACUUGAGCUUGCAGUCAUCGCUAACGUGCAUCCCAGACGCUGAAUUAGCCUGCACAAUCAAACACAUGCAUAGUCAGUUUGAUUAUAUGAUCACAAUACAUUAUAUGAAUUGCAAUACCAGAUUGAUAAAAUGAAAGGUAGGAACAUACCAUUGUUCUCUGCUUGAAAUUGGGGCUUGAUGAUCUGGAAGUAGAGAAGGUAGGGGGUUUUAGAGGGUGGGAAGAAGAAUAGACAAGUAGGUUUGGUUGGAUCGUUAGGCUGGUCACGUCUUAAAACCAAGAAGACUUUGAUGCUGUCACGUUGUUGCCAUAUUUACUUCAUUAGAUAUAUUAGAGGGAGUCUAUAUAAUAUUCACGCAUUCGCAUAAUACACAUGUAUCUAUGUGUGUAUGCAAGCACAUGUGGUGAAGUUUGUUCCGGACAUCAUUGGGGAGUUGAGGUUUCAUGAUGUGCAUGUUUUCUUUCUUUUUAUUAUUAUUUUUGACUUUUUCUUUC
Molecule: RNA transcript, 2308 nt
Organism: Arabidopsis lyrata subsp. lyrata
Lineage: Eukaryota; Viridiplantae; Streptophyta; Magnoliopsida; Brassicales; Brassicaceae
Gene name: tRNA-specific adenosine deaminase 1
Exons: 11
Source: RefSeq, a predicted model, not a curated record